Long non-coding RNA from Frankliniella occidentalis (western flower thrips), 2928 nucleotides. RefSeq lists it as uncharacterized. The transcript has 4 exons. The record is from RefSeq and is a predicted model, not a curated record. Lineage: Eukaryota; Metazoa; Arthropoda; Insecta; Thysanoptera; Thripidae.
UUACAUGUAGCAUUCAGUAAUACUUGGAUUAGAGUGGAAUUGUGAAAGGAAGGGUAUUUCAAUUAUAAGUAAAAACAGUUCUUGAAGUAUACAUUUUAUUUUAUUCAGAUUCAUAAUUUGAACAUAGAACAUACAUAUUCCACUCCUUCGAGGCCAAGAAGACCGGGUUCACGAAGGUGUGGGCAGUAUGUGCAUACGCCAAAUUGUAGCCCAAUUCAUUCUUAUGAAAAGGGUCUUUCGUUUAUAACGCUGCAAUUCGUAAUAUUUUAAAAUAAAAUAUCUCUUAAACCCUUGUAUUUUACAGGUCUGCCCCCUUAAUUGAUACUGCGUGUAUUUUUUAUGCAGUGACUAUUUUUCCGAACCCUUCAAUUCACAGGUCUGCCUCUUUAAGAACAUGAUCUUGAAAGUAGAACAACAAUAUCAAGAGCUUCUUGAUCUUAGGAUAAUUUGCCUCUUAUCUUCAGAUAACGUGCCUCGAAAACAGAAACAAAACUGUGCAGUGUGAAGUGCACGGACAAGUUGCAAUAUGAUCUUAACUCAUGCACAUUCUGGCCUGAAAGUUCGAAACCCUUUUGUACUUGAGUAAAGGCUUGUUUGCGUUAAUUCAGGAACCUUUUUUUUUUUUCUAGGUGAGGGCUUUAUCAAAUUCUGUGGCUGUUUGUUCUAAAGAUUGAAUCUUUUUGUAGGUUAAAGAGUUGAAACAAUGGCAUCUUACCGUGUGCAGACCAUAUGUGAGUUGUCCGUGGGUCUGAACAGAUUCACUACGGAAUUCUAUAAUCUGUCCGUAUUCUAGUACGGUUGACUACAGAAGUUCCGGGUACUUACUUGACCGCACAUUUCCCAUGUCUUGAGUUUUCUACGUACUGCAACGUUUGAUUUUGUAAUAUUUUUGAAAUACAAUCUGACUCAAUGAGACUUUAUUACUGAUAAAAAUUUCUGACACAAUCGUUGUGUGCCACGUCUCUGGCAUUUGCUUUUUAAAGAAGCGAUAAACGCUGUAGUGAAGAAAACUUAGUGCAGAUGUCCACCCAAAAGUUCUUACAUCAUUUUACAUCAUUGAGGGCAGGGUGCCUUGCAACACGACUUCAAUAUUGGAGGUACUCUUUCGCGCGGGCCUCAACGGCAGGGUCGUGGGCUUCUGAGCUGAAACACUGUAGACCUUGCGUUGCCUGGUCUUCGUCAGCGCGGAUUCUCACCAGGCACUCAGACAGAUUCGUGGCAACGGCGUCAAUUUCAGCUCCGCGAGCAAAGUUAGAGUAUGCCAGGUUUGUGCAGAUACUAUUGGGGUUAACUUCUCCGUCGACACAGUCCUGGAGGACGAACUGGUGCCACACAGCAUCCACCAGGGUGUAGUAUUUAUUACCCUCCUGCAAGAAAGAAACAUGAUAACAGCGCCUGCUAGCUUUUUAACUCCCAGUCCUGACCGUAAGUUGACUACUUGGCAUGGUGAUUUAUUGCCACAAAAGAUGCUGUUAAGCAGGGUGGACCUUUUUUUUUUUUUUUCAAAGGGACAAUGGAUACUGCGCGAGGUUUGAAGCCGCGCAAGGUAAAUUAAGUCGUUUGUAGCUGCGGGUGGUUUGUAACUGCGCAAAGUUUGCAGCUGCGCGAAUUUGUAACUAUGCGCGAGAUUUGCCACUCACUGUGCGACUAGAGUUGAGCGAACAGCCCGGUUCGAAUUUGAACGAACUCGAACAAAUUUGGUCUAAAAAUCUUCGAACGAACACGAACAACCAUUUUUUCUUCGAACGAACCCAACUGAACAGUUUAAUGUUAAAAUUCGAUCAGAACACGAACAAUUGUAGAAAUUUGUUUUUUGCUAAUAACACCUCAAAAGCUCUCCGUGGUGGAUAACAACAGUUCCGUUAACGUUUCAAAUUGUAGUUAUAUGUUAACCUGCCAUUGCCCCCUUAACUAUACCCAAAUAUGACACGUCCUCCUGAAACACACUUCAAAUUUGUUCGCCUACGAACUUCUGUUCGAGUACACUGGAAAAACUAAUGUUACCAAGGUAACGUUCCAUCAUGUGACCAAGCCCGGUAACGUUUCCUGAUGCAACCUACCCCAUGCAAAAGGAUAGGGCUAUCAUAAACUGGUUGCAUCACCAAACGUUACCUGGCUUGGUCACGUCAAGAAACGUUACCUCGGUAACAUUAGUUUUUCCACUGUAGUACUCGAACAUUUCGAAUCCAAACACCUAAUGUUCGUGUUCGAGCGGACACGAACAGCUCGAUGUUCGUUCGAAUUCGUUCGAAUGCGAACAUGUUCGCUCAUCUCUUGUUGACCGCGCCACCCUCCCCUGCGGGGAAUGACGAAGCUAUUGCUGACGUGAGUUCAUGUGAUGUCGUUGUGUCGUUAUACUUGUGUGAAUGGUUUUUAUAUUGAUGCGUUUUGUUACAGUAGUUUAUCAUGAAUGAAAGAUCGGCUGCCCCACCAAGCGAGCCCCUUAACCUGAUAGUGCCGUGGGCAGAGCGGAGGUUCGACGAGUGCCGUGGGCAGAUCGGAGGUUCGACGAGGACGACGAGUGGGAGCCAGCUGUUGAGGAAGCACUCGACCUCGCUCCCACCCCCGCCCAGGCCCUUGUCCUCGCGCCCGCCCCAACUUAGGACCAACCGCAGCCGGAGCCGUCCACACCACCUGUGGACUUGCGCCAGAGACUGGAGGAGCUACGUCGAGGUGCGGGGCUCGGCCGACCAGCGGUGCGUCAGCACGAGGUAGAGCAGGAGCAGCUACCACCGGCAGGCCACGGCGCCCCACCCCACAGCCUGGGCAGCUGGAGGGUUGGCGCCAGCAGGCGCCUGCCUCAGGCCGUACAACCAUAGUUAUUGAACCAACUAUAACUAAGCAGAUGAGAAAGAGGAAGUAGCUCCCCCCCUCUUCCUAUUUAACUUUCAUUUUAUAAAUAUUUUUUAAAUAAAAUCAUGUUCAUCA